GUAUACAGCCAUACCACCCUGUACAAGCCCUGAUCUUCUCUGAUCUCGAAAACUAAGCAGGGUCGGGUCUGGGUUAGUACUUGGAUGGUAGAAAAGGUACAAAACAACUUUUGAAAUAUAUU
This 122-nucleotide ribosomal RNA is filed under the name Erinaceus europaeus (western European hedgehog). The record is from RNAcentral. Lineage: Eukaryota; Metazoa; Chordata; Mammalia; Eulipotyphla; Erinaceidae.